UGGUGUUCUCGGUCAUCAUGCAAUCUCGUUAGCUCCGCUGCGUUCUGGGUUUCGAGCGUUAGGCUCCCUCCGGUAGCCGGUAAUUCCGCUCUGGUCAUGGCUUUCCGUUAGUUCAGAUUGUGUUUUAGCUAGUAGGACCUUCUAAAAUUGGCUCCUGAUCGUGGUCGUUGCGAGGUAAAGCUUUUGAUUGUGCGCCAUGUAAACGG
RNAcentral lists this long non-coding RNA (206 nucleotides) under Eucalyptus grandis. RNAcentral's name for it is "long non-coding RNA (EGRA_LNC007331)". Lineage: Eukaryota; Viridiplantae; Streptophyta; Magnoliopsida; Myrtales; Myrtaceae. The record is from RNAcentral.